CACCGCGGUUAGACGAGAGGCCCAAGUUGACAGACAACGGCGUAAAGAGUGGUUAAGGGCUGCAACAAACUAAAGCUGAAUGCUCUCCGGGCUGUCAUACGUACCCGAGAGUUCGAAACCCAACUACGAAAGUGGCUUUAUUAAACCCGACCCCACGAAAGCUAAGACA
RNAcentral lists this ribosomal RNA (169 nucleotides) under Lepidorhombus whiffiagonis (megrim). Its description in RNAcentral is "partial small subunit ribosomal RNA". The record is from RNAcentral. Lineage: Eukaryota; Metazoa; Chordata; Actinopteri; Pleuronectiformes; Scophthalmidae.